ACGAACGCUGGCGGCGUGCUUAACACAUGCAAGUCGAACGGAAAGGCCCUGCUUUUGUGGGGUUCUCGAGUUGCGAACGGGUGAGUAACACGUUAGUAACCUGCCCUUGACUUUGUGAUAACUUCAGGAAACUGGGGCUAAUACCGUAUAGUAGCUACUGCUGCAUGGUGGGGGUUGGAAAGUUUCGAGGGUUUGAGAUGGACUCGCGGCUUAUCAGAUUGUUGGUGGGGUAGUGGCUUACCAAGGCUUUUACGGGUAGCCGGCCUGAGAGGGUAACCGGCGACAUUGGGACUGAGAUAAGGCACAGACUCCAACGGGAGGCAGCAGUGGGGAAUAUUGCACAAUGGGCGGAAGCCUGAUGCAGCAACGAAGCGUGCGGGAUGACGGCCUUCGGGUUGUAAACCGCUUUCGCCUGUGACGAAGCGUGAGUGACGGUAAUGGGUAAAGAAGAAACGGCUAACUACGUG
This 467-nucleotide ribosomal RNA is filed under the name uncultured bacterium. Its description in RNAcentral is "partial 16S ribosomal RNA". It matches the Rfam family "Bacterial small subunit ribosomal RNA", at positions 29 to 507 of the family's 1533-position model. The record is from RNAcentral.